Molecule: long non-coding RNA, 655 nt
Organism: Vidua chalybeata
Lineage: Eukaryota; Metazoa; Chordata; Aves; Passeriformes; Viduidae
Exons: 3
Source: RefSeq, a predicted model, not a curated record
GGCACACACCCGCCGGGGCAUCGGCGCCUUUUCUUAAAAAUAACUUCAGCUUCUGCCCGUGGAAGGGUGGAAGUUAAACCUAUUUCUCCAGCCCGCAAACGCAAACACUAAACACUGCACUAAGUUAGCCCGAAUCCCGUGAAAAUACGUGUGCUUUCCUCGAACCGGGACCAACUAGCCAAUGGCUUAGCACGAGUAAAAGCUGUCUCCGUGGCUCAGUGCAUCUGCUUUUGACCCGCCUAGUCACAGAAAUCCAUCAUAUUACCAGCAUACACAGGUUUCUUCUUAUUCCAAAAUUUAUCUUCUACUUGGAUUUUGAUCAGUUCCUUGUGUUUGUGAAACAAGAAGGCACAUGCAAAGAAAAGAAAAAGAGACAAUGAAAAAACACAUCUCUGAAUAGAAAGCCUUGCUAACUCAGAAGCGUUGCAGAAAAAAGCACAAGCAUGAGACCCAAAAAACAAAUGACUGAAUACAACUCUGAAGAAGACUCUUAAUAAGCCCAGUAAUGUCUGGUGCAGGCAAUUGCAAUGCAGUUCACUCCUGCAGGGACAUCCUAACUAUGAAGGUACUGCAAAGAUCUCAUCUACUGCCUUUCCUCUAGAGAAGGAAUACAGCCUAAACAUCUCCUCCUGCAUCUAAGCAUGUUCUGAACAAA